This is a non-coding RNA of Marasmius sp. AFHP31, 97 nucleotides long. NCBI's taxonomy places the organism in Eukaryota, Fungi, Basidiomycota, Agaricomycetes, Agaricales, Marasmiaceae. The record is from the annotation of a GenBank genome assembly.
GGGCAAAUAGCGUAGGGGUUAUCGCGUUCGCUUUGCAUCACGAAUUUCCGGAGCCUGCUGCUGCGAAAGGUCUCCGGUUCAAUUCCGGAUUUGUCCA